This 829-nucleotide ribosomal RNA is filed under the name Sarcopodium flavolanatum. Its description in RNAcentral is "eukaryotic LSU rRNA". It matches the Rfam family "Eukaryotic large subunit ribosomal RNA", at positions 74 to 935 of the family's 3401-position model. Lineage: Eukaryota; Fungi; Ascomycota; Sordariomycetes; Hypocreales; Nectriaceae. The record is from RNAcentral.
AUUGCCCUAGUAACGGCGAGUGAAGCGGCAACAGCUCAAAUUUGAAAUCUGGCCCUCGGGUCCGAGUUGUAAUUUGUAGAGGAUGCUUUUGGCGCGGUGCCUUCCGAGUUCCCUGGAACGGGACGCCAUAGAGGGUGAGAGCCCCGUCUGGUUGGACACCAAGCCUCUGUAAAGCUCCUUCGACGAGUCGAGUAGUUUGGGAAUGCUGCUCUAAAUGGGAGGUAUAUGUCUUCUAAAGCUAAAUACCGGCCAGAGACCGAUAGCGCACAAGUAGAGUGAUCGAAAGAUGAAAAGCACUUUGAAAAGAGAGUUAAAUAGCACGUGAAAUUGUUGAAAGGGAAGCGCUUAUGACCAGACUUGGGCUUGGUUGAUCAUCCCGCGUUCUCGCGGGUGCACUCUUCCGGCUCAGGCCAGCAUCAGUUCGUCGCGGGGGAUAAAGGCGUCGGGAACGUGGCUCCCUCGGGAGUGUUAUAGCCCUUCGUGCAAUACCCUGCUUCGGACUGAGGACCGCGCUUCGGCAAGGAUGCUGGCGUAAUGGUCAUCAGCGACCCGUCUUGAAACACGGACCAAGGAGUCGUCUUCGUAUGCGAGUGUUCGGGUGUCAAACCCCUACGCGUAAUGAAAGUGAACGCAGGUGAGAGCUUCGGCGCAUCAUCGACCGAUCCUGAUGUUCUCGGAUGGAUUUGAGUAAGAGCAUACGGGGCCGGACCCGAAAGAAGGUGAACUAUGCCUGUAUAGGGUGAAGCCAGAGGAAACUCUGGUGGAGGCUCGCAGCGGUUCUGACGUGCAAAUCGAUCGUCAAAUAUGGGCAUGGGGGCGAAAGACUAAU